UCAGGCCUAACACAUGCAAGUCGUACGGGGAUUUUUAAUUCAAGUGGCGGACGGGUGAGUAACACGUAAGAAUUUGCCUUUAGGAGGGGGACAACAACUGGAAACGGUUGCUAAUACCCCAUAUGCUUUCGAGUGAAAUGGAUUUUUCCGCCUAAAGAGAAGCUUGCGGCUGAUUAGCUUGUUGGUGAGGUAAUGGCUCACCAAGGCGACGAUCAGUAUCUGGUUUGAGAGGAUGAUCAGACACACUGGAACUGAGACACGGUCCAGACUCCUACGGGAGGCAGCAGUGGGGAAUUUUCCGCAAAGGGCGAAAGCCUGACGGAGCAAUCUCGCGUGA
Molecule: ribosomal RNA, 337 nt
Filed under: uncultured bacterium
Lineage: Bacteria
Description: bacterial SSU rRNA
Rfam family: Bacterial small subunit ribosomal RNA
Source: RNAcentral